RNAcentral lists this transfer RNA (69 nucleotides) under Anaerolineae bacterium. RNAcentral describes it as "tRNA-Asp". Lineage: Bacteria; Bacillati; Chloroflexota; Anaerolineae. The record is from RNAcentral.
CUCCGGAUGGCUGAGGACGGCGUACUGCGUGUCGGGCAGCACGACCAGCGUCCAGUCGCCGUCCGGCGC